UACGAAGGGGGCUAGCGUUGCUCGGAAUCACUGGGCGUAAAGCGCACGCAGGCGGAUCGUUAAGUCGGGGGUGAAAUCCCGAGGCUCAACCUCGGAACUGCCUUCGAUACUGGCGAUCUUUGAGUCCGGGAGAGGUGAGUGGAACUCCGAGUGUAGAGGUGAAAUUCGUAGAUAUUCGCAAGAACACCAGUGGCGAAGGCGGCUCACUGGCCCGAUACUGACGCUGAGGCACGAAAGCGUGGGGAGCAAACAGG
RNAcentral lists this ribosomal RNA (254 nucleotides) under uncultured bacterium. Its description in RNAcentral is "partial 16S ribosomal RNA". It matches the Rfam family "Bacterial small subunit ribosomal RNA", at positions 524 to 776 of the family's 1533-position model. The record is from RNAcentral.